GCCUGGGUGGCUCAGUCGGUUGAGCCUCCGACUUCAGCUCAGGUCAUGAUCUCGCGGUUCGUGGGUUCGAGCCCCACGUCGGGCU
RNAcentral lists this transfer RNA (85 nucleotides) under Felis catus (domestic cat). It matches the Rfam family "tRNA". Rfam says of the family: Transfer RNA (tRNA) molecules are approximately 80 nucleotides in length. Their secondary structure includes four short double-helical elements and three loops (D, anti-codon, and T loops). Lineage: Eukaryota; Metazoa; Chordata; Mammalia; Carnivora; Felidae. The record is from Rfam by way of RNAcentral.